Long non-coding RNA from Vombatus ursinus (common wombat), 819 nucleotides. RefSeq lists it as uncharacterized. Lineage: Eukaryota; Metazoa; Chordata; Mammalia; Diprotodontia; Vombatidae. The transcript is spliced from 2 exons. The record is from RefSeq and is a predicted model, not a curated record.
GAGGAAACUGAGGCAAACAAGGUGAAGUGACUUGCCCAAGGUAAUCCAUGAAAUUGUCCAACCUGGUGAUUUUAAGGAGAGAAGUUUCAGCUGAGUGGUAAGAUCAGAAACUUGUUUGAUGGGAAGAAGAGAGGACGAAAAGAGGACAUAGAGGAUCAGCAAAGGGAUUCCAGAUCGCCAGCCAUCGCCAAACCCCCCCCCCCCCCCCCACCACAGAAGAACAGUACUACACAUCCGUCCGGGGCUUCAGAUGACCCAGAGAGCCAAAACCCAGAAAACCAUGGCACCCCAACCAACUCUUCAAAGAUAGGUUCCACGAGGAAGCAUCUGGGCUCAUGGGGAUAGAAGAAGUAAAGAGAAUGCCUUCUCACUCAGUGCAUAGAAGAGCUUCUGGAAAGUCAUGCCUCAAGCUCUUUUCUUCUCUGCUCAGACUGACGAUGGAAACACUUUUCCAUCUGCACCCCUCAGGAGUGGAGAGAGAGGGCAUUAGAGGAUCAGGGAAGCAGAGGAGGUUUUGUUCUCAAGAAGUCAAUCCUUUUUUCUCUAGGGUGCUUGUCAAGGGGACAAAUACUUGACUAUUUGGACCAGGGGAUCAUAGACUGCAGAAUGUCAGGGGUUAGAGGACGCUUCUGCUGUGUAUGUUUUGGAUCCACCAUCUCCCCUCCCCCUCUCAUUGACUUGGGGACUCAGAACCUGUAUACUAACUUCCCCAGAUCAGCAGCCCCCAGGAAUUGGAUUUUGCUCUAGUUCUUAUGAAUGUUCACUGGUGUGCAUCCCACCAUGAUUGACAGUUGGCAUCAAACACGCUUGUUCCUCAAA